GCCAGUGUGGUGUAGUGGUUUGAGCAUCAGACUACAACUCUGGAGACCAGGGUUCCAAUUCCUCCUUGGCCA
RNAcentral lists this transfer RNA (72 nucleotides) under Phrynosoma platyrhinos (Desert horned lizard). RNAcentral describes it as "tRNA-OTHER". It matches the Rfam family "tRNA". From Rfam's summary of the family: Transfer RNA (tRNA) molecules are approximately 80 nucleotides in length. Their secondary structure includes four short double-helical elements and three loops (D, anti-codon, and T loops). Lineage: Eukaryota; Metazoa; Chordata; Lepidosauria; Squamata; Phrynosomatidae. The record is from RNAcentral.